UUGAUGUGUUUAAUCCUUACUCCCACAGAAAUUAUGCCCUUAUGGCUGAGCAUCGUGGAAAAUCUCUUUGGAAAACAUGACUGCUAGAUGCCCGAGGAGGAGUGACCAACUUGCCCCUUUGCCUUAUCUCUCAGUACCCAACGUCAGCAGAAUUCCCCACGUCGCCAUGCCCAAAGCGAGUGGCCGUGAUGGUGGAGUGUACCUCUUCUUGUCUUUACUACUCGGAGUUUGCUUGUUCCCGGUGACGCACACCAUGGAAAUUGACAGUAUUCCCAGAACGACAAUACGGAUAGAAGAUCUGCAUUACAAACGAUUCAGACACAACGAUUCAGUCGUGUACACAACGUUCUGGCUUGAGGAGGAACAGGGGGUCCUUUAUGUUGGAGCAAGAGAGGCCAUCUUUGCUCUCAAUAUGAAUGACAUCACUGACAAGUCCAUGAAAACGGUGCCGUGGCAAACCGUACCUGACAAAAGAGCGAUUUGUCUAAAUAAGCGGAGGAACAACGAGAUUGACUGUUAUAACUACAUUCGUUUUCUGCAAAGAUUCAAUGGAACACACUUACUCACCUGUGGCACCUAUGCAUUUUAUCCUCAAUGUGCCUACAUUGAGGUUAAAAGCUUCACCCUAUCGGCUUCCUUUGAGGGAAAAGAGAGAUGUCCUUACGACCCCGCUGUUGGAUACACAGGCCUCAUCGUUGACAGUAAAAUCUACACUGCCACGCUCUACGGGUUCCAAAGCAAACAGCCGGAUAUCAAACGGAACUUCCAGGACCGUUCGUUCAGGAUGGACGACUCCGUUUCUAACUUGUUGAAUGAGCCAGACUUCAUCGACUCAGUGUUACUGAGGGAGAGUGUCAACAGCUCUGUGGGUGACGACGACAAGAUUUACCUGUUCUUCACGGAGAAGCUGGGGGAAGAGAAUGCAUUUAAUGGAAAGCCACUGGUGACCAGGGUGGCCCGGAUUUGCAAGAGUGACGAGGGGGGAAUGAGAACUCUCCAGAGGAAGUGGACGUCUUUUCUAAAGACCCGGCUUGUGUGUUCCAUCCCAGAGUACGGCUUCCAUUUCAACAUCUUGAAGAGUAUGUACGUGUUGAACCAGGAGCACUGGCAGGACGCCGUGUUUUAUGGUGUGUUUGUAUCCCAGUGGCAAAACAUAGAAAUAUCCGCCAUCUGUCAGUACACCUCUGCGGACAUCCGGAAGGCAUUCGAAGGGCCGUACAAGGAAGAUCAGAGAUCUCCACAGAGGUGGUCAAAAUACACGAACACACUCCCAGAGCCACGCCCAGGAUCGUGCAUCACAGAUGAAUUUCGGGAAGCCGGAAUCAUGACGUCACGUGAUCUGCCGGACCCCGUACUGGACUUCGUGAAAAGGCAUCCACUGAUGGAUGAAGAGGUCAGACCUGUGGGAGGCCGCCCACUCUUCACUAAGAAGCAAGUGAACUACACAAAGAUCGUAGUGGACACGGUCACAGCACUGGAUGGUGAACAGUACAACGUCAUGUUCAUUGGCACAGAUAACGGCUGGAUCCACAAAGUGGUGAAUUCUGGGGCCAGCACACACAUCGUUGAGGAGAUCCGGCUGUACAAGGACCUACAGCCUGUGGAAAGCCUGGUGUUAGCCAGAACCCAGGGGACCCUGUUCGUUGGAUCGCAGAGUGGGGUGACUCAGCUCCCCGUGUCCAAUUGUCACAUCUACAAAAACUGUUGGGAUUGUGUCCUGGCUCGAGAUCCUUACUGCGGUUGGGAUCACAGUGUUUGCCAGGAUAUUCGAACGCAGAAGAACAGAACGAAUCUGAUUCAAGACAUUGCGAACGGGAACAGAAGCUGUUUGGACAGCAACCCAAAUGUUACAGUCAGAAGAGUCCAGCUGGGAUCGGACGUGCUUCUGCAGUGCCCACUUACUUCGAACAUAGCCACAGUGCAAUGGAAAGUCAACGAGGAAGAAAUGGCCAGAGGUGAUGGGACACAGUACCGGCAAGGAGACAGCUUGCUGGUGUUGAGGAAUGUGCAGGCUGAUAGCAGUGGAACAUACAGCUGUUUUGCCCAGGAAAAUGGGGUGAGCCGUGCAGUGGCCUCGUACAACGUCAACGUGACAGAUGACUCAUCACGUUCCACGCACCUUUUGCCUCAGCACCAGUUGUCCAGGGGCCGGGAGUUCAUGUAUCUGAUCCUCGUCACCGUGCUGGGUGCCCUCUCCUUGGUCCUGAGCACUCUGUCCAUCUACCUUGUCUGCUCGCCCACCAAGCGGGGCAACUAUGAUGUGCACCUGCCCCAGACGUCACUGGUGGAGCUGCAGAACAUCUCGGGCAGCUGCCCGGGCAAGGCCGAGGAGGGCGAGGAGCGGCGGUACUCCGGCGAGCGCUUCCUGAAGAUCAUCCCCGGCGAGGGAGCCACAGCCGGCAACCACCGCGCCCAGGCCGCCGAGCUGCUGCCCCCUCCUCCGCCUCCGCCGCCCCUCCCGCUCACCGCCGACUCGGCAGGCUCCACCCCCAACGGGCUGCCCGGCCUGCCCCACGUGCUGCGCAAGAUGAACGGCAACAGCUACGUGCUGCUGCGGCAGGCCAGCGAGCAAGAGGCCACCUCGCCGCACUACCACUCGUUCACGGAGGAGCUGAGCAAGAUGCUGGAGAAGCGGAAGCACGCCCAGCUGCUGGAGAAGCUGGAUGAGAGCUCGGUGUGAGAACAGGGCUGGAGGAGGUGCCGCUGACCUCCCGGACUCCGAAUGACCUACCUCAUUCAGUAUUCAAGGAAGCACCCAUUAUGUGUUCCACCCCUACCCUUCCAGACUUGUACCUUUCAAAAAUCCUGUAAAUACGAUUUUGUUUAGUUAAAGAGAUUUUAUAUGGAAUCUUUGUAAGGACAGAAGGAGACUGAAGUGAGACAUUGCUUGCAGCCCCAACUCUGCCCCAAGCAUAGAGGUUGACUGGCUUGCUCCCAUUCCUAUGGGGAGAAAACUCUCUUAAGAGGCAGUUUGCUACAAGUGGGCAGGACAAUCACUGAGCACUGUUUUCCCCAGUCUGGACUCGGUCACACUGGUGAAUAUACUGAAUGUCACAUUCCAGAUCGCACCAACACCUGAGUCAUCCUAAAGAGCGCAGCAGCACGAUGGUUGUCCAUCGUAUCCGAUGAUGACAAAGAAACCUGGCGGGAGAGCUUUCAAAGUGGAAAAGCCAUUGCACUGGGACCGUUCCACUCUGUUGACCUCGGAGGUCCGGGGCCAGUAGUACGAGUAGUUGUCUCAAACCGGGGUCUUUCUUGGUUGAGCUGGAUAACCAUGAUCUCUCUGCCUUUGCUCUCCAAAAGACUUUGCAAACCGCCCUCUCAGCUGUUGGAUUUUACUGUUGAUCUCAUCCACCCAGACUGCUGGAGCUGGCUUCACGUGCUAGGGCACGCGAGUCUCUGUUUCACUGGGUAUGGAGUCUGCUGGACACCUGGUUUAGCUUGCCUGUCGAAGCGGUGUACUGGGGCCGCUGUCAUGUGGCAGGUGAGAACUGAAUGUCCGGUGGGGCCCAAAGGUGCACGUACUGUAUGUCUUCCAAAGUGCUUUGCAGACAGUGAAGCCUUUCUGAACUAUGUUACUGGAGGAAAUACAGGAGGAAAUUUACUCACAAACAACAAUGACCAAACCAACAUUUACAGUGAAGUUGUUUAACAAUAUUAGGGCUCAGGAGAGUGGGAGGUGGAUAGACCACUUGAUCCCUCUAGCCUAUCCUGCCUGAUUCAAUAUAACCUAGUGUGGACCUCACCUUCUCUUCGGUACUGGGGCUCAAUUUCCUGAUCUCUUAAAAAAUAUUUACUUCUUUUUUAAAUACCAGCAAUGUUCCAGACUCCAAAGCCAUUUCGCUUUGAGAAUUUCAUCACCCAAUACGGUAUGAAGAGCUUAUGUACCUCAGAAUUAAGUUCCCCUCUAGAACCUCUCUAUACAAGGCUCCAGAAGCCCCCUCCCCAGCCCACCUCCCAGUCAGUAAGGCCUUGAUGCCCCCUGUACCCUUUUUAAACCAAUACUCAACCAGUUCUCCUCCACUAGCCCUCCUCCACUUGGAGGAACUUUUUUAUAACCUCAACAGCUGCUCUGACAAUUCCUCUCACUUUCUGCAGCUUCUGCUGGGCUGAUUGUUUGUGGGGACGUCAUCAUAGGGACAUGCAGUCCAUAAACUGGCCGUGCAGCCCACUGAGUCGAUGCUGAUCAUCAGGACCCCAAAUUUAUUAAUGCUCCUUACUCUCCAUACAGAAUUCAGAAUCACCGACACACACUCAUUGGCCACUUUAUUAAGUACACCUGUACAUUUAUGUUACAGAUUCAGCAACAAUAAAUAUAUAAGUGAGGCAGGGUUUUUUUAUAACAAAUAAAACAUUUAUUAAACACUGAAAAACAAACCCCCAAAAGUAAACAAACGACUAAUGUAACCGGAAAUCAGCUGCUGUGCGGCAGCUUAAACAGUUCUUAAAGCGAUGUUGCAAAAACAGUUCUUCAAAGUAUUACUGCAAAAGUUCAAAAUGCUUGCAGUCCAUUAAAGGAGAGACUUUUUAGACGAUUUAAAUUCUCUUUCACGUCAUGUUGUUGAGGUUCCCAGUCGAACUAUACUUGUCCGGGAGAAUUUACGAAGAUGAAAAUGAAACGGCUUAAAGGCACUGACCUUUCCUUGACGAAACUGUGCACCCAACCCUUUCUGCUAUUAUUCGCAGGGGUUACCACGAGCACAGCCAACAAAUUCCUUCCAAAUGAGGAUCAAACAAGGUCAAACCUAUUUCACCGUCAAAAUCGAAUUUCCUCAAUCUUUUAACUCCUGAACUCUGAUCUUCACUCUCCACCGAUUUUUAACUGGCAGUAUUAUAAAGAAACUGCCGGCAAUGACCUUUUAAACUUUAGGCAUUAAAUAAAACUCCACCUUUCAACCAAACUGCGUCAUAAUAUUGGACCACGCAGUGGCAUGGAGUCAAAAUGGCAAAUUCAGCCACAAACUGCCCCUCCUCACAAGGAGGGGUCCUCCUUUUGUACCCUGUGAAAAAAAACUGUCACAUGACCUCUACUGGUGGGAAAAUGACGUCACUCCACCAUCACAAGACCACUACCUUAAGUCCAGUAUAGCUUCAACACCACUGUAACGUGACAAGUACAAGAUACCCACAGGUGUGAAGUGGAGCCUAACAUUGAGCGAGGAAAGAAUCCAGUGUUUGAAACGGCAUCGAUUCUUCUGUCUGGCUGAAUCCAUUGGCGUGGAGCUGGACUCUGUGACCCCUUGGGUGGCUGAUGGCUUUGUCAUGGCUGGUAAUUCAAGCAGGUCCCGAGCGACUGAUGCUAGAACGUCUUGGGACUCCGAUUCAGGACUGGUCCUAUCUGCUGUGUUUGCACGUCUAUACAAAUGAGGUCCCAGCAGCGGCGGCCUGGGAGUGUGAGCCAGCUGCGGCUGGAUUCCAAUUCAAGAACAAGUGAAUAUCAGCAGAACACAACCUCCUCUCCACUGCGUGGCAUAUUUCUUCAUUCAAUAAGACGAUAAGGCACGGGAGCAGAAUGAGGCCAUUUGGCCCAUUGGAUCUGCUCUGUCAUUCUAUCAUGGCUGAUUCUUUAUCCCCCUGAACCCUAUUCCCUUGCCUUCUUCAUGUAACCUAUCAAUCUCUGCUUUAAAUAUACCAAUUGACCUGACUUCCACAACCAUCUGUUACAAUGAAUUCCACAAACUCACAACCUUUUGGCCAAAAAAAUUCCUCAUCAUCCCUGUUCGAAAGGGGCGUCCUUCCAUUCUGAGUCUGUGCCCUCUGGUCCUAGGCUCUCCCUGUAUGGGAAAUAUCCUCUCUACAUACACUCUUUUUUGGCCUUUCAAUAUUUGAUAGGUUUCAAUGAGAUUAAUUCAUUGUGUUCGUUGAAAUUUAGAUACAUACACCUGUGUUGAUGGUUUCUCCCAUCCAGUAUCUACAAUGAAAAGCCUGAAUCUUUUAAUUGAAGGAUUCGUAAAGGCCAACAUUUAGUCUGGUAAUCUUUUGAGUUAUAAGUGUACUUUGAACACAUGAGAGUUAUUUAGAGAAAUGAAUUCAACAGCUGUGAGGCGAAGUUGCAGCUCAAUAAAACCUGGUUAGACUGCAUGUGGAAUAUUGUGUUUAAUUCUGGUCGCCUCAUUAUGAGAAGGUCCUGCCCACAGAUCACUGUGAAGUAGUUAAAAGCAAUGGAAGCUAUCGUUUCAGUCCCAGGCACCUCAUUAUAGGAAGGAUGUGGAAGCUUUAGAGAGGGUGCAGAGGAGACUUACCAGGAUGCUGCCUGGAUUUGAGAGCAUGUCUUACGAGGAUAGGCUGAGUGGUUUUGUCUUUGGAGAGAAUGAGAAUGAGGUGUAACUUGACAGAAGUGUACAAGACGAUAAGAGGCAUAGAUCGAAUGGAUAGUCAGAGACUUUUUCCCAGGGUGGAAAAGGCUAAUACAAUCAUUUUAAGGUGAAUGGAAGAAGUAUAGGGGGCGAUGUUGGGGGAAAGUUUUCUUACACAGAGAAUGGUGGAUGUGUUGAACACCCUGCCAGGGUGGCUGGUGGUACAGGCAGAUACAUUAGGGACAUUUACAAACUCUUAGAUACAUGGAUGAUCAAAAAAAAAUGGGGGCUAUAUAGGAGGGAAGGGUUAGAUUAACCUUAGAGUAACUUAAAAAGUCAACACAACAUAGUGGGCAAGGGGCCGGCACUGGCUGCAAUCUUCAAUAUGUUUCUGAACCUAGGGCCCAAGCCCAUAUCUCCCUGACAGUGGCUGCUCAGGUGGAUGGGUGUGUGGCAUGCUUGGUUCCAUUAGCCCAGCAGGAGUUAGGAGGUUAUGUUUCAACUUUAUAAAACACUGGUUAGGCCACACCUGGGAUGCUGCAUUUAGUUCUGGCCGACCCAUCAUCAGAAGGAUGUACAGGCUUUAGAUAGGGGUCAGGAGAAGUUUACCGGGAUGCUUUCUGGAUCAGAGAGGAGAGGUUGGACUCACAGAUGUUGUUUCCCCUGGAGCAGUGGAGGAUGUGGGGACACCUGAUAGGAACUUAUAACAUUAUCAGAGCAUAGGUAGAGUAAACAGCGGGGAUCUGUUUAAUGUUUAAUACUCAGGAAUAUGCUUAUAAGGUGAGAGGGGAAAGUUCAAAGGAGAUGUGUGGGGCAAAUGAUACUGUAUUUGUAUAAGCAGAGGGGGGUGGGUGGCUGGAUUGUGCUGCCAGGGGUGGUGGUUGGGGCAAACGUGGAAGAAGUAUUUAGAUAGGCCCAUGAAUAUGGAGAAAGUGGAAGCAGAAGGGAUGGGUUUAAUUAGGCGAUUUAAUUAGUGUGGCACAGUGUGGUGGGCAGCAGGAUCUGUUCAUGUGCUGAGCUAUUCUAUGUCGAUGGGCUUCUUUAAGAGUCUGCCCAGACCUUCCCCCACCCAUAGAACCAUAGAACAUUACAGCACAGAAACAGGCCUUUUGGCCCUUCUUGGCUGUGCCGAACCAUUUUUCUGCCUAGUCCCACUGACCUGCACCUGGACCAUAUCCCUUCAUACACCUCUCGCCCAUGUACCUGUCCCAAGUUUUUCUUAAAUGUUAAAAGUGAGCCCACACUUACCACUUCAUCUGGCAGCUUAUUCCACACUCCCACCACUCUCUGUGUGAAGAAGCCCCCCCCCCAACGUUCCCUUUAAACUUUCCCCCUUCACCCUUAAGCCAUGUCCUCUGGGUUUUUUUUCUCCCCUAACCCCAGUGGAAAAAGUCUGCUUGAAUUCACUCUAUCUAUACCCAUCAUAAUUUUAUAUACCUCUAUCAAAUCUCCCCUCAUUCUUCUACGCUCCAGGGAAUAAAGUCCUAACCUUUCUCUGUAACUCAGUUUCUCAAGUCCUGGCAACAUCCUUGUAAACCUUCUCUGCACUCUUUCAACCUUAUUAAUAUCCUUCCUGUAAUUCGAUGACCAAAACUGCACACAAUACUCCAAAUUCGGCCUCACCAAUGCCUUAUACAACCUCACCAUAACAUUCCAACUCUUAUACUCAAUACUUUGAUUUAUAAAGGCCAAUGUACCAAAAGCCCUCUUUACAACCCUAUCUACCUGUGAUGCCACUUUUAGGGAAUUUUGUUUAUGCUCUGGCUGAACUCAUGUGCACAGUUGAGGUUUCUUGAAGAUCAUGGAGGUUGCAUAGGACGUCCAUCAGAAUUAUAGAUAGCUUCACUCUGUUAGUCCCUCAGAGUUGUGUACACCUUCACUCUGUUAGUCCCUCAGAGUCAUGGAUACAUUCACUCUGUGUUAGUCCCUCAGAGUUGUGUAUACCUUCACUCUGUUAGUCCCUCAGAGUCAUGGAUACAUUCACUCUGUUAGUCCCUCAGAGUCAUGGAUACAUUCACUCUGUGUUAGUCUCUCAGAGUUAUGGGCACCUUGGCUCUGUGCAUUCCCAGAUAAGGGAACAUCGCGCAGAGUGUACUGAGCUGGGAUAGUGUGCCAGGUUAGGGUAGGGGCACACACAUUCCACCAUUAAACUGAUAAGGCAGCUUUGUGAAUAAGGCAACCAGGAUUAUUGAUCCUGGAUUACUAAGCACCCAGGAUCUGAAUCAGAUUUACUAUCACUGACAAAUGGCAUGAAAUUUGGUGUUUUUGUGGCAACAGUUCAGUACAAAACAUAAAAUAAAUCAGUUCAAAUUACAGUAGAAAUGUAUUUCCGGGGUUCAAGGUCUAUUCAGAAAUCUAAUGGUGGAAGGGAAGAAGCUGUUUUUAAAAUGUUGAGUGCGUGUCUCCAGGCUCCUGUACCUCCUCCCUGAUGGUAGUAAUGAGAAGAGGGCUUGUCCUGGGUGGGGAGGGUCCUACACAAUGGAUCCCACCUUUCUGAGGCUCUAUCUUUUGAAGAUGCCUUCGACAGAGAGGAGGCUGGUGCCAAAGAUGAAGCUGGAUGAAUUUCCACCUUUAUCUGAUCCGGUGCCGGGGCCCCUCCAUCCCAGAUGGUGGUGUAACCAGUUGGAAUGCUCUCCGGGGUUACGUCUACAGAGUCUUUGGUGACAAAAUUAAUGAAGUACAGCACUGCAUUGCCUUCUUCCAUCUGCACAAACCUUCUACCCUCCGGAUUCCACUACUUACCUAGACACCAGAAGCAACCCACCAGCCCUCAUCUCUUUGGUGCAUGGCUGGAGACUCGUGCAGUCGCAAGGAAAGCUUGUAAACUCCGCACGGGGAGCACCCGAGCUCAGGGUCGUUGGAGUUGUGAGACAGCAUCUCUAUCUUCUGUACCACUGUGCCUCCUGGACAGAGAUAAGUUCUCUCUUUCAUGGCCUGGAACAGAGAAGUUUUAUUAUUGUAGAACUCCAAAAUAAUUCACAAACUUCAUUCAAGAAUCCUCCAUCUGCUCCCCAUCUGGCCCCGAUCAACAUCUCAUGGUAGGUGCUUGGACCUUGUGAACUGGCCCAGUAGGCAUCUAAACGUUUGGAAGUGACUGGCAGUGUUUAUGACCUUGCCAGAGUCCCCCAUCCCCAGUACCACUGAUAAAGAUUAACCUUGAACUUAGCCUAGUACAGCAAGUCCCUUCAGCCCAUGAUGUCUGUGCUAUACUAAUGAAGCUAAUGACACCAGAUCCGUUUUGUUUGCAAAUGGUCCAUUCUUGUGCACCUUUCUAAAACCUUCCUGAGCACCUCUAUCUGCUUUGUUUUUAAAGGGUACAAUUACGUUAAAACAGUGCAAACAGGAAGGUGAAGUGAUGUUUGGGUCAAGGGUUGGUUCUUGUAAAAGCUCAGUAGGUUGGCUGAUUGUACUGGGCAUGCAACAGGGGCACUUUCCUUUUGAAAGCUGCCCCCCCCCCAACCCCACCGUUGAUAUCACUGUUCUGGUUGCCCUCUUGGGUGGAGCGGGCAGUGAGGGGAUUCUGCGCCCCGGUGCGCACACAGUCCUAAUGGAGUUUUGACAGAGCCUGCUCUCAAAGGCCUUCUCACUGCAUCCCCAAGGUCUGUGAUCAAAGCCAUUUCAAAACAGAACAUUUAAACUAUUUAAGAUUAUUAGAGAAAUAUUUCUUUGUUCGAAUUCAAUUAAACUGACAAAAAUACUUUCAAUUUAAUUUACAUUAGUUCAAUCUGAAGUUAAAAAACACUAAACGAAGGUAGAACAUGGAAUGGUACAGCACAGGAAAAGGCCCCGGCCCAUAAUCUUGAAUUGAACCAGCUAAAAAGUAAAUUUUAAAAGAAAAAAACUAAUCCCUGCUAUCUACACCAUGUCCAUCUCCGUCCAUCUUCCUGACAUCCAUAUGCCUAUCUAAAUGUCUCUUAAAACCCUCUAUAGCAUUUGCCUCUGCCACUGUACCAGGCAGUGCAUUCCAGGAUCCACGACCCUCUGUGUAAAAAAAAUACAGCUCACAUCCCCUUUGAACCGACCCCUUCUCACCUUCAGUGCAUGCCCUCUGGUAUUAGACAUUUAAACCUGGAAACAUUCUCUCUGAACACUCUAUCUGUGCUUCUCAUAAUUUUAUGAACCUCUAUCAGAUCCCCCCUCAGCCUCUGGCGCUCCAGAGAAAACAGCCCAAGUUUAUCUAGCUCUAAACCAGGCAGCAUCCUGGCAGAACUCUUCUGCACCCUCUCUAAAGCCUCAACAUCCUUCCUAUAGUGGGGCGACCAGAAAUGUAUGUAAUACUGCAGAUGAGCCAAACCAGAGUUUUAUAAAGUUGCAAUACGGCCUCUUGACUUUUGAACUCAAUGCCCCGACUAAUAAAAGCAAGCUUUCCGUAAGCCUUCCUAACCACUUGAUCAACCUGUGUAGCCACUUUCAUGGAACUGGGAACUUGGACCCCAAGAUCUCUCUGCCCAGCAACAACUAUCUCCUUGCACUUACCCUUCCAAGGUGCACACUUCAUAUCUAUCUAGGCUAAACGCCAUCUGCCACUUCUCUGCCCAUAUCUGCAACUGAUCCACAAUGCACCGUAUUCUUUGCCAGUCUUCUACACUAUCCACAACUCCACCAAUCUUGGUAUCAUCCUCAAAUUUACUAACCCACCCCUCCAUGUUUUCAUCCAGGUCAUUUAUAUACAUCACAAACAACGGGGGUCCCAGCCCUGUGGAACUCCACUAAUUUCAGACCUCCAGUUUGAAUAAGUCUCUUCAACCACUCCCCUCUGUCUUUUGUGUGCAAGCCAGUUCUAAAUCCAAAUAGCCAAUUCUCCGUGAACCCCACACAUCGUAAUCUCCUGGAUUAGCCUCCAUGACAGACCUUGUUAUAUGCCUUACUAAAAUCCAUGUAGACAACAUCCACUACCCUACCCUCAUCAAUCCUCUCUCAUCUCCUUGUCAAAGUUGAUGGGCUUCAGGGGCAGGGUCAAUUGCAGGGCCCACCUUGGUAAUGAUUUAUCUUGCUAAUGAACCAUGAUAUAAACAAGGACACACUAGAUGUGGCUGAUGUGAAUGUGAGGGGCCAGGUACGAAGUAUAUCCUGCUAUCCCCUGCUCAGUAAAGUAUGGAACUCACCUGGACACAAUACUUCCUUGCAAUGGCAUCCAUAAUGCACCUGUAUGUGCGUUGGUCCACGACAUCUCAAUCGAGGUUAGGGUAGAGUGGCACAGGACCUUACUGAGUUUGUCUCAGAAUUUCCAAUCCACUCGUUUACCGCUGAUUUAACAUAAUAAAGCAUAAAGCAUUCAACAGGCCUGGCUGUUGAACAGAGCAGUGCUAGCGUUUGUAGGAAGGCUUCACACAUUAGCACCUCUGUGCUUUAUCAGGCCCCUGGAGAAGAUGCAGGGCCCAUUUCAUAGAGUCACUCAGUUGUACAGCACAGCAUCUGGGCAUCCCAACCACUGUAUGGUAGCCCCACUUGGCCCAGUCGAGGGUGGAGCAGUAGCAUCUUAAUUAUCACGAGGUUUUACAGUGCCAGUUGUAAGUUCGGUACUCAGUGGCUACCACCGUGUAAGGAUGUUCACCCCGUUACCAUGUGCAUUUCCUCUGGCUGAUUCCUCCCAAAUUCCCAAGAUGUGCAGGUUAGGGUUGGCAAGUUCUGGGUUUGGUAUAUUGACACUGGAAGUGCAGUGAUACCUGUGGGCAGGACCCUCGCUGAUUUGAUUUGACACAAACAAUCAUUUCACUGUAUAUACCACUGCAUGUGUGACAAAUAAAGCUAUUUCUCUCUUUACCUCAGGUGCAGAGAGUACACUAAGCAAGUUAACCUGAGCUGGCUGAAGUACUAAACUGGAUUAACCCAACCCUCAAUGAUUUAUUGGAACGCACAGUAGAGCUGGAGCCAACACACAUUAUCAGGCCCCAUCAGACUCAAGUUAGGUCACCAUUUUUACUCAGAAGGUUUGUCAAACAUCUUUGCUCCAUCUGCAACAAAUAGAAUUACCGAUGGCCAACUAUUUUAAUUCCACUGCCCAGUCCCAUUCUGACAUGUUUGUCCAUGGCCAUUCUCUACUGCCCUCUCUCAGUUUGGAGGAGCAACACCUCAUAUUCCAUCAGGGUAGCCCCCAACCUGACAGCGUGAACAUUGAUUUCUCGAACUUCCAGUAAUUUCUCCACCCUUUCCUCACCUUUCUAUUUCCAUUCUGCCCUCUGGCUUCCCAUUUACCCCCUUCUCUUCUUCUUGCCUGCCCAUUACCUUCCUUCUUCCCUUUCACCCAAGAUCCAUUCUCCUCUCCUACGAGAUUCCUUCUUCUUCAGCCCUUUAUUUUUCUACCUCUCACCUCCCAACUUCUCACUUCAUCCACCCCACCAAUCUACCUUCCCCCCUCACCUUGCUUCACCCAUCACCUUCUAGUUUGUACUCCUUUCCCCCCCAACUUCUUAUUAUGACUUCCUCCCCCUCCCUCUCCAAUCCUGAUGAAGGGUCCCGGCCUGAAAUGUUGACUAUUUAUUCCUUCCAUAGAUGCUGCCUGAUCCACUGAGUUCCUCCAGCAUUGUGUGUGUGUUGUUCUCGAUUUCCAGCAUCUACAGAAUCUCUUGUGUUUAUUACUCGGAAGUAUGUACGUAAUUAUUUGGAUCGUGUUAUUGUAAUGCCUUUGGCUCCAGUUCUGACUCCAAGAUGUUGCUCCCUGGCUACACCUCAGCAGUUUGAUCUUGCUCAGUAUCGAACGGUCUGAUUUCUUACCAUUCUUACAGGAAUACAUUGCAUGCCAGCCUGCCAAGCAAAAUAUAUAAUCAUAUUGGACUUGAGUAGCCUUUCUCUUGUGUUUAUCGGUGUUGUGCAGAGACCUAGCCACGGCGUAAAUGGUGUUCACAGGCACCCUCCUGCUCUGAUCAAGCCUUCCUUUCAAUAGCAGCUCCAUGCCAUGCAUGACCCUCGGAGGGGUCUGGAGAUCUCCUUGCUUGAUGUCAUACCCUUCUGCACUGACUUCUGGCAUGGUGCCACCGAGGUACAGCAGCUUGAAGCAAAGCCAUUCACCCAGUGCCAGCCUGUCACAUCAGCAGAAACGCAAACCCUUAUUGAUCACGCAGAGACCCGACCUGUGGUAUUUUCAUUUGAAGACUUUGGAUUUAAUUCCCUGCAACAGGGCAUGGACUGUCCUGGCUGCUGCUCAGAUAUAUUAAUGUAGAAACAUUUGCUAGUGAACUAUAUAUACAGUAUAUAUUUUCAUAAUAUUCAAUUGUGAAUUAUUGGUGGAAAAUCAAUAAAUGAAUAAGUUUCA
RNA transcript from Hypanus sabinus (Atlantic stingray), 13548 nucleotides. It is a transcript of the gene named semaphorin-4G-like, with no coding region annotated. The transcript is spliced from 17 exons. Lineage: Eukaryota; Metazoa; Chordata; Chondrichthyes; Myliobatiformes; Dasyatidae. The record is from RefSeq and is a predicted model, not a curated record.